UGUUCGAAGACGAUAAAAUUCAAUGCCCUGAUAUCCUCCGAUCCAACCUACAAAGUCAACCAGUAUUAACAUAAAAUCUCACAUAAUAGCAGAAAUGGUUGAAAUUAUACAUAGGUAUUGUUUCAUUGAGUCACACAUCACAUAAAUUACAAUUGAAAAUAAGAAUAGAUUUUGAAAUGUGAAACCAAGUUGGAUGGGCUUUUCAUUUAUUUAUUUCUAUUUAUUUAUUAUUUUAAAUGAAGACAAU
This 247-nucleotide unclassified non-coding RNA is filed under the name Hevea brasiliensis (rubber tree). The record is from RNAcentral. Lineage: Eukaryota; Viridiplantae; Streptophyta; Magnoliopsida; Malpighiales; Euphorbiaceae.